This 460-nucleotide ribosomal RNA is filed under the name uncultured bacterium. RNAcentral describes it as "partial 16S ribosomal RNA". It matches the Rfam family "Bacterial small subunit ribosomal RNA", at positions 338 to 795 of the family's 1533-position model. The record is from RNAcentral.
CCUACGGGUGGCAGCAGUGAGGAAUAUUGGUCAAUGGCCGAAAGGCUGAACCAGCCAAGUCGCGUGAAGGAAGAAGGCCCUACGGGUUGUAAACUUCUUUUAUAGGGGAGUAAAGGGAGGCACGUGUGACUAUUUGUAUGUACUUUAUGAAUAAGGAUCGGCUAACUCCGUGCUAGCAGCCGCGGUAAUACGGAGGAUCCGAGCGUUAUCCGGAUUUAUGGGGGUUAAAGGGUGCGUAGAUUGGUUGUUAAGUCAGCUGUGAAAGUUUGUGGCUCAACCGUAAAAUUGCAGUUGAUACUGGCAGCCUUGAGUACAGUUGAGGUAGGCGGAAUUCGUGGUGUAGCGGUGAAAUGCUUAGAUAUCACGCAGAACUCCGAUUGCGAAGGCAGCUUACUAAGCCGCCACUGACAUUGAUGCUCGAAAGUGUGGGUAUCAAACAGGAUUAGAUACCCCUGUAGUC